GAUGAACGCUAGCUACAGGCUUAACACAUGCAAGUUCGAGGGGCAGCAUUUCAGUUUGCUUGCAAACUGGAGAUGGCGACCGGCGCACGGGUGAGUAACACGUAUCCAACCUGCCGAUAACUCGGGGAUAGCCUUUCGAAAGAAAGAUUAAUACCCGAUGGUAUAAUCAGACCGCAUGGUCUUGUUAUUAAAGAAUUUCGGUUAUCGAUGGGGAUGCGUUCCAUUAGGCAGUUGGUGAGGUAACGGCUCACCAAACCUUCGAUGGAUAGGGGUUCUGAGAGGAAGGUCCCCCACAUUGGAACUGAGACACGGUCCAAACUCCUACGGGAGGCAGCAGUGAGGAAUAUUGGUCAAUGGGCGCAGGCCUGAACCAGCCAAGUAGCGUGAAGGAUGACUGCCCUAUGGGUUGUAAACUUCUUUUAUAUGGGAAUAAAGUUUUCCACGUGUGGAAUUUUGUAUGUACCAUAUGAAUAAGGAUCGGCUAACUCCGUGCCAGCAGCCGCGGUAAUACGGAGGAUCCGAGCGUUAUCCGGAUUUAUUGGGUUUAAAGGGAGCGUAGGUGGACAGUUAAGUCAGUUGUGAAAGUUUGCGGCUCAACCGUAAAAUUGCAGUUGAUACUGGCUGUCUUGAGUACAGUAGAGGUGGGCGGAAUUCGUGGUGUAGCGGUGAAAUGCUUAGAUAUCACGAAGAACUCCGAUUGCGAAGGCAGCUCACUGGACUGCAACUGACACUGAUGCUCGAAAGUGUGGGUAUCAAACAGGAUUAGAUACCCUGGUAGUCCACACAGUAAACGAUGAAUACUCGCUGUUUGCGAUAUACAGUAAGCGGCCAAGCGAAAGCAUUAAGUAUUCCACCUGGGGAGUACGCCGGCAACGGUGAAACUCAAAGGAAUUGACGGGGGCCCGCACAAGCGGAGGAACAUGUGGUUUAAUUCGAUGAUACGCGAGGAACCUUACCCGGGCUUAAAUUGCAUUUGAAUAUAUUGGAAACAGUAUAGCCGUAAGGCAAAUGUGAAGGUGCUGCAUGGUUGUCGUCAGCUCGUGCCGUGAGGUGUCGGCUUAAGUGCCAUAACGAGCGCAACCCUUAUCUUUAGUUACUAACAGGUCAUGCUGAGGACUCUAGAGAGACUGCCGUCGUAAGAUGUGAGGAAGGUGGGGAUGACGUCAAAUCAGCACGGCCCUUACGUCCGGGGCUACACACGUGUUACAAUGGGGGGUACAGAAGGCAGCUACCUGGUGACAGGAUGCUAAUCCCAAAAGCCUCUCUCAGUUCGGAUCGAAGUCUGCAACCCGACUUCGUGAAGCUGGAUUCGCUAGUAAUCGCGCAUCAGCCAUGGCGCGGUGAAUACGUUCCCGGGCCU
RNAcentral lists this ribosomal RNA (1360 nucleotides) under uncultured bacterium. Its description in RNAcentral is "bacterial SSU rRNA". It matches the Rfam family "Bacterial small subunit ribosomal RNA", at positions 28 to 1381 of the family's 1533-position model. The record is from RNAcentral.